This 426-nucleotide ribosomal RNA is filed under the name Ixodes scapularis (black-legged tick). RNAcentral describes it as "partial 12S ribosomal RNA". The record is from RNAcentral. Lineage: Eukaryota; Metazoa; Arthropoda; Arachnida; Ixodida; Ixodidae.
UAAAAAAUUUUGGCGGUAUUUUAAGCUUAUUAGAGGAAUUUGCUCUGUGAUGGACACAACGCCUUAAUCUUACUUAAUUUAGUAAUUUAAAUCAGUUUGUAUACCACUAUAUUAAUUAUAUUGAAUAGUUAUAUUUAAAAUUUUUUUAAAAAAAUAUAUUAAGUCAAGGUGCAUCUAAUAAUUAUGAAUGAAGUGAAUUACAUUAAUUUUAAUGUAAUUUUUUGCAUGAAAAAAUUAAUUAGGAUUUAAUAGUAAAAUACUAAUAUUAUGAGUAUUUGAAUCAAGCUCUAAAAUAUGCACAUAUCGCCCGUCGCUCUCAGAAGUGAGAUAAGUCGUAACAAAGUAAAAAUACUGGAAAGUGUUUUUUAAAAUGAAAUCAUUUGAUGUUUCAUUUACAAUGAAAAUUUUGUUGUUUAACCAUUUUAA